UCACACAGUUCAGAUUUGUUAAAACUACAUUUGUUUUGCACUUCUAAUAAACACUGUUUCAUUACUUAAUUUGUUAUGCGAAUUGAUACUCUGCAUAAAUAAUGGUGUUUACAUGAGAGUUAGUCCAUAAUGAAUAUUUUUCUGAGCAUGAAUUGAUAGUGCAAAGUUAGAAUACACUUGUACUGGCAGUAAACCGAAUUUCAU
RNAcentral lists this long non-coding RNA (204 nucleotides) under Vigna radiata. RNAcentral's name for it is "long non-coding RNA (VRAD_LNC003653)". Lineage: Eukaryota; Viridiplantae; Streptophyta; Magnoliopsida; Fabales; Fabaceae. The record is from RNAcentral.